GGAGAGAUGGCCGAGUGGCUGAAGGCGCACGCUUGGAAAGCGUGUAUACUCGAAAGGGUAUCCAGGGUUCGAAUCCCUGUCUCUCCGCCA
This 90-nucleotide transfer RNA is filed under the name Telmatobacter bradus. Its description in RNAcentral is "tRNA-Ser". It matches the Rfam family "tRNA". Rfam says of the family: Transfer RNA (tRNA) molecules are approximately 80 nucleotides in length. The record is from RNAcentral. RNAcentral also lists the same sequence under 11 other names. Lineage: Bacteria; Pseudomonadati; Acidobacteriota; Terriglobia; Terriglobales; Acidobacteriaceae.